Molecule: long non-coding RNA, 1061 nt
Filed under: Mus musculus (house mouse)
Lineage: Eukaryota; Metazoa; Chordata; Mammalia; Rodentia; Muridae
Description: predicted gene, 35823
Source: RNAcentral
AGUUGCUUCCCCGAGCACUGGGAAAGACAUCCGAGCCUGUCUGAGGAGGCAGAGCUGGUAGGUCAUGGCUUUCAGGAACCUUCACCGGACAGUAUCCUGGGCCCUGAGAGCUGCUGCUUGGUCCUUCUUUAUUACACUCCUCCAUGCUGUUCUUCAGAGAGGCGUCCCAGCCAGAGCUCCUAGGAAAAGUCAGUAUCGUUUACACUCGGACAGCCUCUGAAUCAGCCCAGUUAACACCAUGAUUCACAGAUGGGUUAACCUGCCUCUCUGCCUCAAGUCCAAGUCUUCUGUUCAUGGGGAGCACAAGAGGACAGACAAUGCCAGGAGUCCCACAGGGGACAAUGGCUCUCCUUGAGAGUCAAGGGUUGAGAGAAGGAAACUCUGUAGAUGCCUCUAAUGCAGUGCCUCCCCACCUUCCACUCUUCCCCUUCAGUUAGCCAGCAAGGCCUGCCUUCCCUGCUGUGGGAGAUGAAGGGGCAGACUCAGAGCUCACCUGUCCAGUGAAAAGUUUUCAUAGCGUCAGAACCAGGUCCAGUGCCCCAGCCCAGACCUGUCGGGCUCUCUUCUCCUCCAUGUGGGCACAAGGCCACGAUACCCAUCCCACACCUGUGCUUACCCACUCCAUCUCUCCCAUAACCCAGGAAUCAAAGGACUCUGUGAUCUUGCCAAUAGUAGGCCAAAUAUAGCCCUCCAUAGGCCCACAGAUCCUCCUAUAAGCCACAAAGUGGCAUCCACCGACCCUGACUUAGAGGGUCAGCUCAGCUCAAGGAAUGCAUACCCUCUUGUCUUCACAAAGGGAAUAGCAGGUAGCCCUGGGCCCUGGGCACAUCUACCACCUUGAGGAGAAGGGUUUGCAGGUCAUUAUUAGCAAGUCCUUCCAAAACUACUGCUGCUUUUUUCACUACCCCAAAACAUUAUCAUCAAGAGCAAUCCUUUAAGCAGGAGAAUGUUACAGUAAAUCAGAUAAGUGUGCGGGGAAUGACAGGUUUUCACUUAAGGAUGGCUCAGGAAUAAAAAGAAUGUCUGCAGUUACCUCAAUAAAAAUUUCAAUAAAAAAAAAA